CUACGGGCCGCUGCAGUGGGGAAUAUUGGACAAUGGGCGCAAGCCUGAUCCAGCAAUGCCGCGUGAGUGAAGACGGCCUUAGGGUUGUAAAACUCUUUCGCUAGGGAAGAUAAUGACUGUACCUAGUAAAGAAGUCCCGGCUAACUCCGUGCCAGCAGCCGCGGUAAUACGGAGGGGACUAGCGUUGUUCGGAAUUACUGGGCGUAAAGAGUUCGUAGGCGGACUGACAAGUUAGAGGUGAAAUCCCAGGGCUCAACCCUGGAACUGCCUUUAAAACUGUCAGUCUAGAGACCGGAAGAGGUUAGGGGAAUACCUAGUGUAGAGGUGAAAUUCGUAGAUAUUAGGUGGAACACCAGUGGCGAAGGCGCCUAACUGGUCCGGUACUGACGCUGAGGAACGAAAGCGUGGGGAGCAAACAGGAUUAGAUACCCGAGUAGUC
This 439-nucleotide ribosomal RNA is filed under the name uncultured bacterium. RNAcentral's name for it is "partial 16S ribosomal RNA". It matches the Rfam family "Bacterial small subunit ribosomal RNA", at positions 339 to 795 of the family's 1533-position model. The record is from RNAcentral.